Molecule: long non-coding RNA, 348 nt
Filed under: Nothobranchius furzeri (turquoise killifish)
Lineage: Eukaryota; Metazoa; Chordata; Actinopteri; Cyprinodontiformes; Nothobranchiidae
Description: lncRNA (ENSNFUG00015011863.1)
Source: RNAcentral
UCUGCUGUGUGAGGGGAAUAUUUGAGGCUCUGCAGUAGAAAUGUAUUCACUUCAGUAUCUGGGACAGUUGAUCAGCUAAAGCGACUAUUUGCUGCUGCAGAAAUCUUCUCACCAGGCUGUGGAAACUUUCUUCUCCUCAAACACUUGGUGGAGUUCUUUCCAGAACCAGAGAAGUAUUCUGCGGUCUUCGUGACAAUCGGAGCUCCAGAAUCAGCUGUUAGCUAAACACGGCUAAAGAAAACCUGCUACCACUUCAGGAUCAUCCAUCAGCUGGGACUGCUUCAUCGUGUGUUCUUCACCACCUGGACCUGGACAGCAUGGACACAGGUAGGGCUGCCACCUUUCAGA